GACGAACGCUGGCGGCGUGCCUAAUACAUGCAAGUCGAACGCAUUUUCUUUCACCGUAGCUUGCUACACCGAAAGAAAAUGAGUGGCGAACGGGUGAGUAACACGUGGGUAACCUGCCCAUCAGCGGGGGAUAACACUUGGAAACAGGUGCUAAUACCGCAUAAUUCCAUUUACCGCAUGGUAAAUGGAUGAAAGGCGCUUUUGCGUCACUGAUGGAUGGACCCGCGGUGCAUUAGCUAGUUGGUGGGGUAACGGCCUACCAAGGCUGCGAUGCAUAGCCGACCUGAGAGGGUGAUCGGCCAUACUGGGACUGAGACACGGCCCAGACUCCUACGGGAGGCAGCAGUAGGGAAUCUUCGGCAAUGGACGCAAGUCUGACCGAGCAACGCCGCGUGAGUGAAGAAGGUUUUCGGAUCGUAAAACUCUGUUGUUAGAGAAGAACAGGGAUGAGAGUGGAAAGUUCAUCCCUUGACGGUAUCUAACCAGAAAGCCACGGCUAAC
Molecule: ribosomal RNA, 501 nt
Filed under: uncultured bacterium
Lineage: Bacteria
Description: bacterial SSU rRNA
Rfam family: Bacterial small subunit ribosomal RNA
Source: RNAcentral